RNAcentral lists this ribosomal RNA (1236 nucleotides) under metagenome. RNAcentral's name for it is "bacterial LSU rRNA". It matches the Rfam family "Bacterial large subunit ribosomal RNA", at positions 1564 to 2810 of the family's 2925-position model. The record is from RNAcentral.
UGAAUACGAGAUGCUAAGGCGUCGAAGUAGUGUAUGUCAUACUUCCAAGAAAAGCUUGCACUGUCAUAAGUAAAAAAUGCCUGUACCAUAACCGACACAGGUGGGUAAGUAGAGUAUACUAAGGGGCGCGAGAUAACUCUCUCUAAGGAACUCGGCAAAAUGACUCCGUGACUUCGGGAGAAGGAGUGCCUUAUUCUUAAGGUUGCAAUAACAAGAUCCAAGCAACUGUUUAUCAAAAACACAGGUCUCCGCUAAGUCGUAAGACGAUGUAUGGGGGCUGACGCCUGCCCAGUGCCAGAAGGUUAAAGAAGUCGGUUAGCAAUCGCGAAGCUGGUAACUGAAGCCCUGGUGAACGGCGGCCGUAACAAUAACGGUCCUAAGGUAGCGAAAUUCCUUGUCGGGUAAGUUCCGACCCGCACGAAAGGCGUAAUGAUUUGGAUGCUGUCUCGGAGAGAGGCUCGGUGAAAUAGACUUGUCUGUGAAGAUGCGGACUACCUGCACCAGGACAGAAAGACCCUAUGAAGCUUUACUGUAACUUGAAAUUGAAAUUGGACUUUAUUCGCGCAGUAUAGGUGGGAGGCGUUGAUUAUAAUCUUGCGGGAUUAUUGGAGCCAUCAGUGAGAUACCACUCUUGUAAUGUUAGAUUUCUAACUUUGAAUCAUUAUCUGGUCAAAGGACAAUUUCAGGCGGGCAGUUUGACUGGGGCGGUCGCCUCCUAAAUGGUAACGGAGGCGUACAAAGGUUUCCUCUGAACGGUUAGAAAUCGUAUCUAGAGUGUAAAGGCAUAAGGAAGCUUGACUGUGAGACCUACAAGUCGAGCAGGGACGAAAGUCGGUCUUAGUGAUCUGACGGUACUGAGUGGAAAGGCCGUCACUCAACGGAUAAAAGUUACUCUAGGAUAACAGGCUGAUCUCCCCCAAGAGUUCACAUCGACGGGGAGGUUUGGCACCUCGAUGUCGGCUCAUCGCAUCCUGGGGCGGUAGUACGUCCCAAGGGUUGGGCUGUUCGCCCAUGAAAGCGGUACGCGAGCUGGGUUCAGAACGUCGUGAGACAGUUCGGUCCAUAUCCGGUGUAGGCGUUAGAAUAUUGAGAGGAGCCUUCUUUAGUACGAGAGGACCGAGAAGGACAUACCUCUGGUGUACCAGUUAUCGUGCCAACGGUAAACGCUGGGUAGCUAUGUAUGGAGUGGAUAACCGCUGAAAGCAUCUAAGUGGGAAGCCCACCUCAAGAUAAGUA